RNAcentral lists this unclassified non-coding RNA (211 nucleotides) under plant metagenome. RNAcentral's name for it is "partial contains small subunit ribosomal RNA, internal transcribed spacer 1, and 5.8S ribosomal RNA". The record is from RNAcentral.
UUUCCGUAGGUGAACCUGCGGAAGGAUCAUUCAUAAUAAAGUGUUUUAUGGCACUUUUUAAAAAUCCAUAUCCACCUUGUGUGCAAUGUUAGAUCUCGUCAAUCUUGGCGAGAUUUUUAUACAUCAACUCAUUCUUUAACCAAUUUGUCUGAAAAAUAUCAUGAAUACUUAAUUCAAAAUACAACUUUCAACAACGGAUCUCUUGGCUCUC